CUCGAGCCACAACCUCCCUUUCU
This 23-nucleotide microRNA is filed under the name Bovine leukemia virus. RNAcentral's name for it is "BLV-miR-B5-3p". Lineage: Riboviria; Pararnavirae; Artverviricota; Revtraviricetes; Ortervirales; Retroviridae. The record is from RNAcentral.